UUGUGUUUUAGAGGUUGCGGUGCAUUAUGAGUAAGGUAAGGGAGAUUGAGGACAUCGUAGAGCUUGCCAGAAAGGAAUCACUGCCGAAGCAUAGAAAUCUGCCUCGAUUUCUAGAGCUGGGACUAUAUUGAAUAAAUAUAGGACUGUCACUGGUAAAGAACCCAUUUUACCAGUGAGGGGCUAUUUCACAC
RNAcentral lists this non-coding RNA (191 nucleotides) under Geosporobacter subterraneus. RNAcentral describes it as "Lysine sequence". It matches the Rfam family "Lysine riboswitch aptamer". From Rfam's summary of the family: Riboswitches are metabolite binding domains within certain messenger RNAs that serve as precision sensors for their corresponding targets. Allosteric rearrangement of mRNA structure is mediated by ligand binding, and this results in modulation of gene expression. This family includes riboswitches that sense lysine in a number of genes involved in lysine metabolism, including lysC. The record is from RNAcentral. Lineage: Bacteria; Bacillati; Bacillota; Clostridia; Peptostreptococcales; Thermotaleaceae.